Molecule: long non-coding RNA, 521 nt
Organism: Esox lucius (northern pike)
Lineage: Eukaryota; Metazoa; Chordata; Actinopteri; Esociformes; Esocidae
Source: Ensembl
GGCCUCAUUACAAACACAGUAAUUUGGUAUAAACAAAUUGAUGCUUAAAACGUCAGAUUAAAUAGACUACAUGAGGACUAAUAAAAUAAUGUAAAACGUGUUCGUGUUUGAAAUGUUCUACAAAUCUGAGUUUAUUGCCAUAUGGAGUGUCACCAAAAGGGAGUAUAUGAAGGAGGGCGGUCAUGCUACGUCUUCCUAAAUGAGCAUCCCCAUCCUUCCUUUAAGCCACUAUUAGAGGAUCCGAAGAUGGGAAUGAAAACGUUCAAUUUCCCCCUGCAUUUAGGCCUGAUAAAUGUAUUUCAUCACAAUGUUAAGGUAAAUAUGUUCAUUAGAGUUUUGUCUGCUUCCUUUAGGAUUCAUUAUCUAUGUGGUAAGGCUUUGAUGAUACUUGAUGAAUAGGAUUUUGUCUGAAAUUCUAAAGAAAUUAAAAUAUGCCCUUGAAGCAAGGUCAGGUAAAUGUUACUCACACAUUCGUUAUCUAAUGCCAAACAUAAUGGAUAACCUACUCCUUUAAAAACACA